GUUAAGGUAGCAAAAACUGGUUACCGCAUAAAACUUAAGCUUUUACUCACGGAGGUUCAACUCCUCCUCUUAACA
RNAcentral lists this transfer RNA (75 nucleotides) under Mammut americanum (American mastodon). RNAcentral's name for it is "tRNA-Leu". It matches the Rfam family "tRNA". Rfam says of the family: Transfer RNA (tRNA) molecules are approximately 80 nucleotides in length. Their secondary structure includes four short double-helical elements and three loops (D, anti-codon, and T loops). Further hydrogen bonds mediate the characteristic L-shaped molecular structure. tRNAs have two regions of fundamental functional importance: the anti-codon, which is responsible for specific mRNA codon recognition, and the 3' end, to which the tRNAs corresponding amino acid is attached (by aminoacyl-tRNA synthetases). tRNAs cope with the degeneracy of the genetic code in two manners: having more than one tRNA (with a specific anti-codon) for a particular amino acid; and 'wobble' base-pairing, i.e. permitting non-standard base-pairing at the 3rd anti-codon position. The record is from RNAcentral. Lineage: Eukaryota; Metazoa; Chordata; Mammalia; Proboscidea; Mammutidae.